Molecule: ribosomal RNA, 491 nt
Filed under: uncultured bacterium
Lineage: Bacteria
Description: partial 16S ribosomal RNA
Rfam family: Bacterial small subunit ribosomal RNA
Source: RNAcentral
AGUGAACGCUGGCGGUAGUCCUAACACAUGCAAGUCGAACGGCAGCACAGUAAGAGCUUGCUCUUACGGGUGGCGAGUGGCGGACGGGUGAGGAAUACAUCGGAAUCUACUUUUUCGUGGGGGAUAACGUAGGGAAACUUACGCUAAUACCGCAUACGACCUACGGGUGAAAGCAGGGGAUCUUCGGACCUUGCGCGAUUGAAUGAGCCGAUGUCGGAUUAGCUAGUUGGCGGGGUAAAGGCCCACCAAGGCGACGAUCCGUAGCUGGUCUGAGAGGAUGAUCAGCCACACUGGAACUGAGACACGGUCCAGACUCCUACGGGAGGCAGCAGGGGGGAAUAUUGGACAAUGGGCGCAAGCCUGAUCCAGCCAUACCGCGUGGGUGAAGAAGGCCUUCGGGUUGUAAAGCCCUUUUGUUGGGAAAGAAAAGCAGCAGGUUAAUACCCCGCUGUUCUGACGGUACCCAAAGAAUAAGCACCGGCUAACUUCGU